CUUGUUGUGGACAAAUAAAGUGGAUAUGAGCAUCAAUUCCUCCUGCCGUGAGAAUUUGUCCUUCACCAGCAAUCGCCUCUGUGCCGGGCCCGAUCACUAUAUUUACUCCUGCCUGCGUAUCAGGAUUACCUGCCUUCCCGAUCCCAAAGAUUCGACCGUCCUUGAUUCCCACGUCUGCCUUAAUAAUUCCCCAGUGAUCAACAAUCAAGGCGUUAGUUAUAACGGUAUCAACAGUUUCCGCUGACGAUAACUGGGAUUGACCCAUACCAUCUCG
RNAcentral lists this small RNA (274 nucleotides) under marine eukaryotic metagenome. Its description in RNAcentral is "5' ureB small RNA". It matches the Rfam family "5' ureB small RNA". The record is from RNAcentral.